This 119-nucleotide ribosomal RNA is filed under the name Pteropus alecto (black flying fox). Lineage: Eukaryota; Metazoa; Chordata; Mammalia; Chiroptera; Pteropodidae. The record is from RNAcentral.
GUCUACAGCUAUGCCACUCUGAACAUGCUGGAUCCCGUCUGAUCUCAGAAGCUAAGCAGGGUCGGGCCUGGUUAGUACUUGGAUGGGAGACUACCUAGGAAGACCAGGUGCUGUAGGCA